AGGGAAAAGCCUAUACAUACAUUGCCUGGACAAUCAUCCCAUUCUCUCGCAUUCGCAAUAGCGUUUUUUAGCUUUUUCUCUUUUACGCGACACGCAUAAGUUGCGGCUGGCUGACUGCCAAAUUUAUUUAAGUUUAAAUAUCUAUGUUUCUUUGCUUCAUUGAGUUUCUUUACGUGGCAAUAUCUCAGUUUAUUCCUGGCGCAUAAUUUUGAUUUCAUUUAAGUAAAGGAUUGGCACUAGAGGUCAGGGGUUACAUUCUCUACGUGAUUGCCCAUGAUUGUUUGUAUUAUUAUUUGCAACUUUUAAACGCCGAAAAUUCAGUUACCGCAUGAAUUAUACAACCAAACGAAGCUGGUUAGCAUAAUAAAGCGCGUCCAACUGAAGUGCGUAUAAGGGGUGCCGAGUCCUUUAGGCAAAAGAACGUCUGCAGCCGCGACAGUAACUGAAUUCGCUUGAACGCCGGAAGCGGUUGCAGCAAGGAAACCGACGUUGAAGAAGCGAAUACUUAGUUGUAUAUAUAAAAAAUCGAAGCUUAAUGGAAGAAGAAAACAUGAAUGCUAUAGAUGAUCGUAAUGUGACAGUACGAAGGAAACAGACAACUUGUUCUGACACCGACCAAAUGCUACAUUGGAGAGAAGCCGAAAGUUUCUUAAGAUCCACGGUGAACCGACUAGAAGAAAUUACGAUCACUGCAAACGACAAAAACGACAUACAGAAAGCGACAAGUGACGUGUUCGCUGCAAAGAGAAAGUUUGACGAUGUAAUGUCAACAAUACCCGCGGAACACGCUGAGCUCGUUGCCUAAAGAAG
Ciona intestinalis (vase tunicate) is the source of this 810-nucleotide non-coding RNA. NCBI's taxonomy places the organism in Eukaryota, Metazoa, Chordata, Ascidiacea, Phlebobranchia, Cionidae. The record is from RefSeq and is a predicted model, not a curated record.